UACGAAGGGGGCGAGCGUUAUUCGGAAUCACUGGGCGUAAAGCGUGCGUAGACGGUUUCGUAAGUCGGGUGUGAAAUCCCCGGGCUCAACCUGGGAAUGGCGAUGAAGACUGCAAGGCUAGAAUCUGGCAGAGGGGGGUAGAAUUCCACGUGUAGCAGUGAAAUGCGUAGAGAUGUGGAGGAACACCGAUGGCGAAGGCAGCCCCCUGGGUCAAGAUUGACGCUCAUGCACGAAAGCGUGGGGAGCAAACAGG
RNAcentral lists this ribosomal RNA (253 nucleotides) under uncultured bacterium. RNAcentral's name for it is "partial 16S ribosomal RNA". It matches the Rfam family "Bacterial small subunit ribosomal RNA", at positions 524 to 776 of the family's 1533-position model. The record is from RNAcentral.